ACGCUCGACACCUACGGGAGGCAGCAGUGGGGAAUAUUGCACAAUGGGGGAAACCCUGAUGCAGCGACGCCGCGUGAAGGAUGAAGUAUUUCGGUAUGUAAACUUCUAUCAGCAGGGAAGAAAGUGACGGUACCUGACUAAGAAGCCCCGGCUAACUACGUACCAGCAGCCGCGGUAAUCUGAGCGGGCUGGCAAGGC
Molecule: ribosomal RNA, 198 nt
Filed under: uncultured bacterium
Lineage: Bacteria
Description: partial 16S ribosomal RNA
Rfam family: Bacterial small subunit ribosomal RNA
Source: RNAcentral